Molecule: ribosomal RNA, 269 nt
Filed under: uncultured Nitrosomonas sp.
Lineage: Bacteria; Pseudomonadati; Pseudomonadota; Betaproteobacteria; Nitrosomonadales; Nitrosomonadaceae
Description: partial 16S ribosomal RNA
Rfam family: Bacterial small subunit ribosomal RNA
Source: RNAcentral
GUGAUCCNCUNUGCCGCGNGAGUGAAGANGGCCUUCGGGUUGUAAAGCUCUUUCAGUUGGGAAGAAACGAUUGCAACUAAUAAUUGUAAUUAAUGACGGUACCGACAGAAGAAGCACCGGCUAACUACGUGCCAGCAGCCGCGGUAAUACGUAGGGUGCGAGCGUUAAUCGGAAUUACUGGGCGUAAAGGGUGCGCAGGCGGUUUUGUAAGUCAGAUGUGAAAUCCCCGGGCUUAACCUGGGAAUGGCGUUUGAAACUACAAGGCUAGA